CCGAAAUCUAUUUAGGUAGAGCCUUGAGCGGACACCUUCGGGGGUAGAGCACUGUUUCGGCUAGGGGGUCAUCCCGACUUACCAAACCGAUGCAAACUCCGAAUACCAGUGAGUACUAUCCGGGAGACACACGGCGGGUGCUAACGUCCGUCGUGGAAAGGGAAACAACCCAGACCGCCAGCUAAGGUCCCAAAGUCUAUAUUAAGUGGGAAACGAAGUGGGAAGGCUUAGACAGCUAGGAUGUUGGCUUAGAAGCAGCCAUCAUUUAAAGAAAGCGUAAUAGCUCACUAGUCGAGUCGGCCUGCGCGGAAGAUAUAACGGGGCUCAAACUGUACACCGAAGCUACGGAUGCACUUUGUGCAUGGUAGAGGAGCGUUCUGUAAGCCGUUGAAGGUCAAGGUGUGAACCAGGCUGGAGGUAUCAGAAGUGCGAAUGCUGACA
Molecule: ribosomal RNA, 441 nt
Filed under: uncultured Symbiodinium
Lineage: Eukaryota; Dinophyceae; Suessiales; Symbiodiniaceae
Description: partial Bacterial large subunit ribosomal RNA
Rfam family: Bacterial large subunit ribosomal RNA
Source: RNAcentral